AUUGAACGCUGGCGGCAUGCCUACACAUGCAAGUCGAACGGCAGCACGGGUGCUUGCACCUGGUGGCGAGUGGCGAACGGGUGAGUAAUACAUCGGAACGUACCUUAUCGUGGGGGAUAACGCAGCGAAAGCUGUGCUAAUACCGCAUACGCCCUGAGGGGGAAAGCGGGGGAUCGCAAGACCUCGCGCGAUUAGAGCGGCCGAUGCCUGAUUAGCUUGUUGGUGGGGUAAAAGCCCACCAAGGCGACGAUCAGUAGCUGGUCUGAGAGGACGAUCAGCCACACUGGGACUGAGACACGGCCCAGACUCCUACGGGAGGCAGCAGUGGGGAAUUUUGGACAAUGGGAGCAACCCUGAUCCAGCAAUGCCGCGUGAGUGAAGAAGGCCUUCGGGUUGUAAAGCUCUUUUGUCAGGGAAGAAACACCGGCUCUAACACAGUCCGGGAAUGACGGUACCUUGAGAAUAAGCACCGGCUAACUACGUGCCAGCCGCCGCAGUAA
This 500-nucleotide ribosomal RNA is filed under the name uncultured bacterium. RNAcentral's name for it is "partial 16S ribosomal RNA". It matches the Rfam family "Bacterial small subunit ribosomal RNA", at positions 30 to 523 of the family's 1533-position model. The record is from RNAcentral.